This 168-nucleotide small RNA is filed under the name Streptococcus pneumoniae. Its description in RNAcentral is "ncRNA of unknown function". The record is from RNAcentral. Lineage: Bacteria; Bacillati; Bacillota; Bacilli; Lactobacillales; Streptococcaceae.
AUCAGAUGAGUUUAUACUCUUCGAAAAUCAAAUUCAAACCACGUCAACGUCGCCUUGCCGUAUAUAUGUGACUGACUUCGUCAGUCCUAUCUACAACCUCAAAACAGUGUUUUGAGCAGCCUGCGGCUAGUUUCCUAGUUUGCUCUUUGAUUUUCAUUGAGUAUUAGG